Molecule: small RNA, 126 nt
Filed under: Anoxybacteroides rupiense
Lineage: Bacteria; Bacillati; Bacillota; Bacilli; Caryophanales; Anoxybacillaceae
Description: RNA E
Rfam family: RNA Staph. aureus E (RoxS)
About the family: It was shown to be regulated by the presence of nitric oxide (NO). In Bacillus subtilis it controls expression of genes with functions related to oxidative stress and oxidation-reduction reactions and it was renamed RoxS (for related to oxidative stress).
Source: RNAcentral
GUGAAUAAAAUCACAAAUAACCUUAUACCCCUUUGUUUGACCGUGAAAAUUUUCUCCCAUCCCCUUUGUUGUCUUAAUGACAAUAAAAAGACAAAAGACCCGGCCUGCGCUGGGUCUUUUGUCUUU